This 293-nucleotide unclassified non-coding RNA is filed under the name Hevea brasiliensis (rubber tree). The record is from RNAcentral. Lineage: Eukaryota; Viridiplantae; Streptophyta; Magnoliopsida; Malpighiales; Euphorbiaceae.
CUUUAUUUGUGCAUAGUGCUCUUCAAACAGACCCAGAGGCCGUGGGGUCUUCAAAAGGACGACAGCUACGCUUUCUUGCUAAUGUUGAUCCUGUUGAUGUUGCUCGUAACAUAACUGGGUUGAAUCCGGAAACUACAUUGGUUGUGGUGGUUUCAAAAACGUUUACCACAGCCGAAACUAUGUUGAAUGCUCGAACAUUGAGGGAGUGGAUUUCAGCUGCUCUUGGGACACAGGCAGUUGCAAAGCAUAUGGUGGCGGUCAGCACGAAUCUAACGCUUGUUGAGAAGUUCGGG